CAUCUCGUCACCCUCAAAGAGAGAGAGGACAAAAAUUUGAUAAAGGAAAAGCAUAAUUGAUCAAAGGAAGGGAGGAGAGAAAGAGGAGGAGGAGGAGGAAGAGAGAAACCUUUGGAUGUGUUGAGAAAAUAGAAGUGUAUAAGGAGGAGGAGGAAGAGGGAGAGGAGGAGGAGGAGGAGGAGGAUUGCGUAAGAGGUCGCGUUAAUCAUUCAUAAAGUCGAGAAAAAGACGAAAGAAAGUCGACGAAAUGAUGAUAAGGUUAAUAAUGGUCCAGAGAGAGAGAGAGAGAGAGAGAGAGAGAGGAAAAUUGUUAGUUUGGGUUAGGCAAUGUUAGGUAAGAUUCGAUUAGGUAAGGUUACAUAAGACUAGGUUAGGUUAGAUUAGGUAAGGUUGCAUAAGAUUAGGUUAGGGUAGAUUAGGUAAGGUUAGGUUAGGUUAGGUUAGGUUAGAUGUUAGGUAAAGUUAAAGUAAGGUAAAAUUAGGUUAGUAAGUUCGGUAAGAUUAGAUUAAGCAGGUAAAGUUUGGUUAGGUAAGGUUAGGCAAGGUUUGGUAAGAUUAGGCAAGGUUAGGUUAAGUUAGGUAAGGUUAAGUUGGGUAAAGUUGAAGUAAGGUAAAAUUAAGUUAGUAAGUUAGGUAAGAUUGGAUUAAGCAGGUAAAGUUUGGUUAGGUAAGGUUAGGCAAAGUUUAGUAAGAUUAGACAAGGUUAGGUUAAGUUAGGUAAGGUUAGAAACUGGGUAAAGUUGAAGUGAGGUAAAAUUAAGUUAGUAAGUUCGGUAAGAUUGGAUUAAGCACGUAAAGUUUGAUUAGGUAAGGUUAGGCAAGGUUUGGUAAGAUUAGGCAAGGUUAGGUUAAGUUAGGUAAGGUUAAGUUGGGUAAUGUUAAGUUAGGUAAGUUAGGUUAGGUUAAGUUAGGUAAAGAUAUGUUAGGUAAAGUUAAGUUAGGUAAGUUAGGUAAGGUAAAAUUUGGUUAUGCAACGUUAAGGGAAAAUACGAAAAAGAGGAAAAAGUUAAAGAAUCAAAGGGAAA
Molecule: long non-coding RNA, 1025 nt
Organism: Eriocheir sinensis (Chinese mitten crab)
Lineage: Eukaryota; Metazoa; Arthropoda; Malacostraca; Decapoda; Varunidae
Exons: 2
Source: RefSeq, a predicted model, not a curated record